Non-coding RNA from Taeniopygia guttata (zebra finch), 2038 nucleotides. Lineage: Eukaryota; Metazoa; Chordata; Aves; Passeriformes; Estrildidae. The record is from RefSeq and is a predicted model, not a curated record.
UGAAAAAAAAAAUUGCUGUAUUUCUCUUUUGUUUGAAUGUUACUAAAUCCUGCAUUCUGUGUAGGAAAUAUUAAAAUACCAAGAUUUUAUUAUCAACCAAGGAGAUAAUCCCAGUGGAGGAGGAAGGACUGUGGUCCUCUUUGUUUCCUAAGUGUCUCUAGAGGUGCUUCCAUAUGGAGCAGAAUUUCAGUGGUUCCACAGUGUAGAGGUUAGCAGUAAUAACACAGAUUCCUGUAUUGUAUCUUCCAACCCUCUCUGGAGGACCGAGAUAUCCUGGAAUGCCUCUGUGCCUGUAGACUCGUACAUUUAGGCAACAGAACCAGUCUUAUUUACCAAUAUAAUUUCCUAAUGAGGUUUUGUGGAAUGAGGAACUAGAAAUCAUCAGAAUGUAUGAAUUGUGUUUAUGAUGUGUUUCUCUUCUGUCUUGUUUUAAACAUCCCUAUCAAUGUUUUUCUAUUGAAGAAAUCUGUUUAAUCACAGGAUCAUCCCAGGCCUAUUGUGUAUUUCAAAAGGACAUCCCCCUGAACAGAAAAUAUUUAUACCUUUCAUGCCUUUGAUUUUCUUCAAAUUCUGUCAUAACUGAUAAAAUUUCACAUGUUCUCUAAUUAAAAAAUAGUCAUGUGAGGAACUCAGCCUCCUCUUUACAUCCAUUCUCAGCUAGUCUAGACUGCAGCAUUGAGAGGAGAAACUGAAGAAUUAGGGGGAAAUGCAGUCAAACCACUGGUCACGUCCAGUGUUUCUGAUGCAAAAGUAGCAAAUUUCAAACUAAGUUUGGGUUGGGAGGAACCACUCUGUGUGUGCAUUCAGAGUGUUAACUUGGCUGAUGGAGGGAAAUCAGGGAUAUGGGCUGAGUGGAUGUGAUUGUGAGCAGAGGGAGAGGCAAUACCUCAGGACCUGUAGGAUGAGAAAGGAAGGGAGGUAAGUAAACAUGUGUGAAAUUCAUGGGAAAAGUAUUUGAUCUUUCGGAGGUCCAGAUUAUUGGAUUUGUGUAUGGAAACUUAUGGAAAAUACAAGUAAUGCUGAAUCUUUAGAUUUUUUUGGUGCAAAUGUGGAACCAGGCCACUGCUUUGAAAUGAAGCAGACUUCAAGGAUAAAUGUUUUCCAGAUCCUAUAUCUAUUACUUCAAGGAUAAAUGCUUUCCAGAUCCUAAAUAUCUCAUCAGACUCUUUCUGCAUAUAUCUGGUGUGCACAGGAAAGCUAUAUUCAGUUGGUCUACAAGUACCUCAGGGCCCACCCAAAUUUUACAAAUAAGAGAUAUGUAUUCUACCUGUCCGGUGGAUGGAGGCAGCACAGCUGUGAGACACAGGAACACCACUGACAGAAUCAUCUCUGAAAAGGGCCAGGAGUAGGACUUUGAUGAUCCUUGUGGGUCCCAUCCAACUCAGGUUAUUCUACAAAUAUCUGAUUCUAAUUGAAGAAUAAUACACCAGACCCUGGACUCCAAGACUCCACUUGCCUGGGAGGCUCAAACACCACUCCAGCAACCAAGGAGGUCACUGCAAAGUUCAGGAAGACUUCCUUUUCCUAGGAAGAAAUAGAGGUGCUCACACUGGAGGAGGUAGACAUUUACACUAAGAAAGCUGCAUCGUUUGAGGAGGGACUGAAUUUCCAACUGGACAAGGAAAGCAGGUGGGAUAAGGAGACUGGAUCUUCUUUGCAGAGACUUCAGUGUGAGCAGCCUUAAAUGUGGCCUGGUUAGAAAGGGAAAAUUACUGAGCAGAAGAAAAUGUCUGCUGGAAAAUACUGGCAGAGAUAUUCCCAGCCAGCCUGGCAGCUGUGAGCCUGGGAACAAAACUUUCAUACUGCAAACAUCCCCGACAGCUACAUCUGGCCUCCUUAAAGAACAGCUGGGGUUCCCAGAAGCCAGAGACAUCCUGAGAUACCAUCGAUAAGCACAAGAAAUUGUAACAGCCAUUUAUCAGCUGAAAAAGUAGAAACAGUUUGGGGACAUGAUCAUGGUCUGAAAGAACCAAAAUUAUCAUCAUCUAUUGGCUGGUUCAGGUGAAAAAUUGAAAUAAAAAACAUCUAUUGGCUGCUU